This 293-nucleotide ribosomal RNA is filed under the name uncultured Actinomycetes bacterium. Its description in RNAcentral is "uncultured actinobacterium partial 16S ribosomal RNA". It matches the Rfam family "Bacterial small subunit ribosomal RNA", at positions 226 to 532 of the family's 1533-position model. The record is from RNAcentral. Lineage: Bacteria; Bacillati; Actinomycetota; Actinomycetes.
UGAGCCCGCGUUCCAUUAGCUUGUUGGUGGGGUAACGGCCCACCAAGGCGACGAUGGGUAGCUGGUCUGAGAGGAUGAUCAGCCACACUGGAACUGAGACACGGUCCAGACUCCUACGGGAGGCAGCAGUGGGGAAUUUUGCGCAAUGGGCGGAAGCCUGACGCAGCGACGCCGCGUGAGGGAUGACGGCCUUCGGGUUGUAAACCUCUUUCAGCCCUGACGAAGCAGUGAUGUGACGGUAGGGGUAGAAGAAGCACCGGCCAACUACGUGCCAGCAGCCGCGGUAAUAAGGG